Molecule: long non-coding RNA, 593 nt
Filed under: Equus caballus (horse)
Lineage: Eukaryota; Metazoa; Chordata; Mammalia; Perissodactyla; Equidae
Description: lncRNA (ENSECAG00000046461.1)
Source: RNAcentral
CAGACUGAAAACAAAAAGCCUGACAUCAAAGGUGUGUGGAAGCCCGGGAGGUUCUUGAGGUAGGAGCUUAGAUUAUUGACAUAAGACUGUUCCUCCUUCACAUGAAAUGUUUACGGAACAACUCGUCUGGGCCACCACUCCCCAGGCUCUGGGGCCAAGCACAGUUUAACAAUGUGCCUCAAACAGUAACUCUCAGCGUCCAAAACCACCACCACCUUGCAUGUGUUCUUGAUUACUGUGGUGGAUUAAGGAUGGCCGCAAAUUCUUUGACAAUCCCUUCAUCAAGAGACGGGAUCUAUUUCCCUUGCCCUUUCUUCUGGGCUGGCCUGUGAUUGUUUUGACAAACAACUUAUGGGAGAAGUGAUGUGCAUAACCUCCCCCCACAGCAUCUUGCCCCUGAACCCAAGGGGUCGAGACUCUGGUAAUGGAUGCUCCAUCUGACGGCCUGGUCCCUGAGGGGUGCCAUGAUGCAUUGUCUAGUCACUGAGGGUAUUUAAAUUAUUCAAUUUGAACCGUCCUCCUCGUGGAAGAGAUUAAAUCCCAACAAGCAGAAAGAUGUGUGAGAAGCAGGGGAGCAAAAAUCUGUCAACAGG